Molecule: unclassified non-coding RNA, 210 nt
Filed under: Hevea brasiliensis (rubber tree)
Lineage: Eukaryota; Viridiplantae; Streptophyta; Magnoliopsida; Malpighiales; Euphorbiaceae
Source: RNAcentral
CACACAUUGUGUAUACCUUUUGCACCUGCAUUUGGGCAACUGGUGUUUACAAUGUGUGUGACUGAGGGGUAAUAACAUGCACAGAUGAAAUACUCAGUCCAGCCACUGCAUUUGUCAGCUGGAAAGAGGGUGCUACGAAUUGAGGUUGUAGGAGUACUUGGAUAUUUGGUACAUUCAGGGAAGAUAAUGUGCUGGUAGGACAUGAUGUUG